Molecule: transfer RNA, 72 nt
Filed under: Candidatus Woesearchaeota archaeon
Lineage: Archaea; Nanobdellati; Candidatus Woesearchaeota
Description: tRNA-Gly
Rfam family: tRNA
About the family: Transfer RNA (tRNA) molecules are approximately 80 nucleotides in length. Their secondary structure includes four short double-helical elements and three loops (D, anti-codon, and T loops).
Source: RNAcentral
GCGCCGGUGGUCUAAUGGCUAUGACUUCGGCCUUCCAAGCCGACUAUCUGGGUUCAAAUCCCGGCCGGCGCA